Molecule: microRNA precursor, 99 nt
Filed under: Haemonchus contortus (barber pole worm)
Lineage: Eukaryota; Metazoa; Nematoda; Chromadorea; Rhabditida; Trichostrongylidae
Description: microRNA hco-mir-5896 precursor
Source: miRBase by way of RNAcentral
CACCCAUAUGGAUGCGUCGGUUAUGGGCAAUGUGUCCUGUUCAGACCGCACGGAUCUGGCAGGCACGUUGUUCAAUACAGACAAUCCACUGCUCUUCCU